GUGUAGGUAGCUCAAUUGGUAGAGCCUCUCCUUGUGACGGAGAUGGUUGCAGAUUCGAAUUCUGUCCUACACCCCA
RNAcentral lists this transfer RNA (76 nucleotides) under bacterium. Its description in RNAcentral is "tRNA-His". It matches the Rfam family "tRNA". Rfam says of the family: Transfer RNA (tRNA) molecules are approximately 80 nucleotides in length. Their secondary structure includes four short double-helical elements and three loops (D, anti-codon, and T loops). The record is from RNAcentral.